CUGAAUUCUCAUUCUGGAUCCCCAAAAGAAAGGAUCGGAUUACCCAAUCGCUUCUUGCUGGGAAAUUGUCACUGGGAGCAGCUCAGUGUUUCAGUGUCUGCUCUGCAAAAAAGGUGUCAAGAAUGCAAAGGGAGCAAUGCAGAGGAUGCACUUCCAACAUGGGCAUGAAGGGUGCCAUUCUCUUAGGAUGGUGACACAGACACAGAAAAAUCAACUAAGUGCUGAUCUCAAUGCCUGGAAGAUGACUAUUACAUAAGUGCAAUUUUACUCUCUGCGUUAAUCUUUGCUGAGAUAAUUGCUUUCUUUCUAUUUUCAGUGUGUUGGCAAUGCUGUAUGGCCCACUGACAGUAGUUCAAUAAAAACAGAGAUCA
Molecule: long non-coding RNA, 371 nt
Filed under: Chinchilla lanigera (long-tailed chinchilla)
Lineage: Eukaryota; Metazoa; Chordata; Mammalia; Rodentia; Chinchillidae
Description: lncRNA (ENSCLAG00000028166.1)
Source: RNAcentral